This is a long non-coding RNA of Perca fluviatilis (European perch), 309 nucleotides long. RefSeq lists it as uncharacterized. Lineage: Eukaryota; Metazoa; Chordata; Actinopteri; Perciformes; Percidae. The record is from RefSeq and is a predicted model, not a curated record. The transcript is spliced from 3 exons.
GCGUGCAGGUGAGAUCAAAGGGUGCAGCGUGGGGGAGGGGACAGCAGUCGCUAAUUGAGAGGACAGAGACAGCAGAUGGGAGCAGCACAAGCCCGAGCAACAAGUUUUGAGAGAGCGAGUUAUUACAAGAGGAUGGGGCGUCAACACACAAGCCCAAAGCGGCCAAGCAAGGGCACAAAUGUCCAAUAUGUGGGCUGGACUAUGCCGACUUAACGCAGCACAUUAAACUAGGUGAACGCGUGGUCAACAGAACUGAACUGGAACUGCUGUCUAAGUUGGCACACAGACGGUGCAGGAGGCCUUUAUCUC